Molecule: long non-coding RNA, 2218 nt
Organism: Gallus gallus (chicken)
Lineage: Eukaryota; Metazoa; Chordata; Aves; Galliformes; Phasianidae
Source: Ensembl
AAAUGAGGAGGCUGCCAACACAAGUCUUUUGGAGAAUGGAGUGUUUACUUUUAUUUUAGAUCAGACAAGGGAAAGAAGAGUGAAAGAUCUACUUCAGUAAAAUAUUCAAGAAGUGUUUUGUGAAUGCACGAAAUGGAUCCCUGUGGAGAUGGAGAAUGAGAUGAAGAGAAAUCAGAAAGACUGAUUAUGCUGAAACCAGUGCUACAAAAGAGGAUGCUUGAAAGGACAAGUGUGUUUCUCAGCCACUUGUCCUUCAAACAACAUGAUUGUCCUUGUAUGUAUCUGCUUCAUCCAGUUUAUCAGCAUCUCUCUUGAUAAACAUGUAUUUCCACAGUCAUUCAGUGAGUCAACAUGUUUGGAAACAAAACGCAGCAUUCCUUCUUGUUCAAAUGAAACAAAGAUUCAGGAAUUACUUACUAUACCUGACUUUUGUGUCUCAUCCAAAUUGAAGAUGCUAAGCACUCCUGGCACUGAAAACAAACAAAAAUCUGCACAGUUAAGGCAGAGAGUGGGAAUUGAAACUGGAAAAUCUGGAUGGUGAGAAAAUUAACAGGAACAACAAAAUGUAUUAGAUCAUGAUAAAAUUAUUUGUCUCACAGCCAUAAACAAUGUAAAGGGGAUUUAAUAAUUGUUUUGUCAAGAAGACCUUGUUGUAGACAAAGACUCAUGCAAUAACUGUUGUAAAGGUACACCACAAAACAAGAAAGCAUUCUCUGACUGCAGCAGAGUUACAAAUGUACAUGUAAAUGCGUAUGCAAUCCGAGAAACUGAUUGCAACUAUCAAUAGGGAUUUCUGUGAACAUCUGAUCACACGUGCAGUGUAACAAAUACAUUGGGCACAGAUAGUAAGUAGAGAGUCCAAACUCUAACUCAUAGAAUGAAAAACUCAUCUUGUCACCAAAAGAUAGGUUUAAUUUUUUUCCUUAUUUCCUUGUUUCCUUUUUUUUUUUUUUUUUUUUUUUUUUUUUUUAGAAGUGAAGCCAAACAGUUUCAGGAGGAGCAGAACUAACAUAUCCAGAUUUCAUAUGGAUUUUUUUCAUAUGGAUCCCAUCCCUUAUGUUUUCUUCCUUGUCUCCACUGCUACCCUGUAUGUUUUGCUGAGUUAAAACAGCAGCACAUAUGUAUAGUUAGAAAAUAAUCAUAAUGUGCUGACUUACUGGCUGAGUGUUACCACUUGAUUACAUAAGAGCCCGAGUUAUAAGUUUUUAUUUAAUGAUCUACUCAGCCAAGUAUUAAUACAACUUGUAAGAAUUUAAUUUAAGGCAAUCCCUUGUGUCAGACUCAAUUGAAUAUGGUUAAUAUAUUUAAAAGUUGGAGGGGAGAACAGUGCUGCACCAGAAAGUCAAUCUGACUGAGGCAACAGAGCAUCUUACAAGCACCACAGGGAAGUGUACUCUUCCUCAUUAAAACUGCAGCAUAAGGUCUCUGAGGAAUGGGAUAUUCUGUUAUGUUUCAUUGCUGGGUAGCAGAGGAGUGGUCUGACAAAAUGGCGUCUUACAUGGAAGUUUGUAUAAAGCAAAGGUGUGUCACUGAAUUCCUUUGUGUGGAAAAAAUGGCACCUCCUGACAUUCAUCAACACUUGCUGAAGGUUUAUGGAGACCUAACAGUGGAUGUGAGCACAGUGAAGUGGUGUGUUUCAGCAGUGUUGACAGUGAUGCGAAAGAACAGCUCAUUCAGCUAUAGGCUAGAUCACUUAAGCUCUCUUGGGCUUCACGAUUGAAAUGUAUGUAUUCUUGUAAUAGAGAAUAGAUUGGAAAACCAGAGUAACCUCCAGUUUAUAAUGGUUUGUGCAUUCUUUGUAAUUGUGGAUUUGAAACAAAAAACUGUGCUCCCCUCAAUCCUCCCCAGCUAAAGAGCUUCUCUGUAAGAAAUAGUGUAUAUGCUCUAAGUCUGUUUUCAUAACAGAUUUGAAUCUCUUAUGUUUCUAUAAUAUUCAGUUUAUUCAAAUUAUCCUUCAUUUGAAUAAUGCUUUAUAAUUUGUUGUAGAUGUAACGCAAGCUGCCUAUGAAAAUUUCAAACUAACUUUGUUUUUCAGAGUCACUCUUUGACUUUUUUUGUUCUUUUUUUUUUAAAUUAUUUUUCUUAAUACAUCUUAUUCUGAUUUUCUUGGCUUAGUUUUUAUUUCUUUGUUUUCUGUUGUUACAAUUUAAGCAUUUUGUCCAGUCUUUGUGAAAGCAGUGUAAUCAAUUCAGUAUAGCAUUAAAAUAAUUCAGUGUAU